Molecule: unclassified non-coding RNA, 229 nt
Filed under: Lilium leucanthum var. centifolium
Lineage: Eukaryota; Viridiplantae; Streptophyta; Magnoliopsida; Liliales; Liliaceae
Description: ITS 1
Source: RNAcentral
UCAAGAAUCGACCGAUAGACCGUGAACCUUUAAACAUACGACACCAUGUCGGGCAGGCAUUAUGCCUGCCCUACUCGGGACCUCACAUGGUGUCCAUGACCGCCUAUGAGUGUUCUCAGCACGAUUUGCGGGGGACAAACGAAACCUCGACGCGGCCUGCGCUAAGGAACAUAUGUCAGGACGGACGUGCGUCAACGCCUCUAUGGUGGGGUGACGUCCGCUCUCUAUC